Non-coding RNA from Staphylococcus saprophyticus, 104 nucleotides. NCBI's taxonomy places the organism in Bacteria, Bacillati, Bacillota, Bacilli, Caryophanales, Staphylococcaceae. The record is from Rfam.
AAUAACCACUAGGGGUGUCAUUUUUGCACUGAGAUGAGGAUGUCCUCAAACCCUUUGAACCUGAUCUAGUUGGAACUAGCGUAGGGAAGUGUGUUCGUCAAACU